This 12501-nucleotide long non-coding RNA is filed under the name Zea mays. Its description in RNAcentral is "long non-coding RNA (ZMAY_LNC002256)". The record is from RNAcentral. Lineage: Eukaryota; Viridiplantae; Streptophyta; Magnoliopsida; Poales; Poaceae.
AUAGCGAAUUAUUUCGCUAUUCCGGUCACUUAGCUGAAUUAGUGGAUCGAGUAGAAUUUUAGUAGGCAUGUGUGUUGAUGAAAUAAUUUAAUCACUUAUAAAGAUGUAGUAUAAUUUAUAAGGCAAGGGAUUAGUUCAGAAUUAAAUUAAUUAACUGAUAAGUUAUGAUUAGGCUAAUUGUAUUUCGUGUGUAUAGUUUGUUGUUCGUGAUGUUUGUGUUAGGUUCGAGAAGCGUAAUUAUUGCGCUUAGUUGUACGUCUGUAACUAGUGUUUCCGUAUAAAAUUAUACAACGCCUCGCCGAUCGGUGUUUAAAUUCGCCAUCGCGUAGCACUAUUUAGGGUUUUUGAUAUUCCUGUCUAUAUGCAUUCAUAUGCAUAAUGCAUUUCAUUCAGGUACGUUAAUUAAUCGCGCGAUGUGGAAGACAAGCCAAGUCGACCCCAAGCGCGGGCUAAUCCGCAGGAUGAUGCUGAUGGACAAACCUGAAAAUGGCCGCCAAGUGGACGUCGUCUAACAACACUAACCUAGUGUUACCCAGGCAAGCCCAGGUGCAUGCAACCCUUUCCUUGUGUUUUUAAAUAAUUUUCGCACACUUUAAGUCUAGUGAAAUGUGCAUUAGGUUCAUAGGAGUUGCUUGGAACCCUUUGAUGCAUUACUUUCCUUGAUAUCCAUACCUUUAUAGAUACUUCUGUGAAGUAUCAAAAUAUGAUUUACAAAAAUGCUUAGUCUUGCUUAGAUCUUGUGGAUAGAGGUUGUCCUUAGCCUAGCUCGAGAAAGGAUGACUUCUACCUGCAAGAAUAUUUUCAUUUGGAGCAAUGGUGGGAUCUUACUGCAAAGUUCCCUGUGAUGCUCUUUUCAUCCUAAGGAACAGAAACAAUCCUAAGGAUGAAAAUACUUAAAUUGAGACUUGGGUUAGGAACAGGUGAUGUUCUACCCAGGUUGAUUAAGGAUUGAAUGCGUAUGUAGGCGUGCUGAUCGAGGACCCUUUAACUGGUCACAUGCCUCAUCAUGGGUAAGCCUUGCCUCGGGCAGACUAAGGCCAGAAUAAGAUAACACGAAAUGGGCGUGGAGCGGUGGCGAGAGUAGCGUGUACCCUCCGUGGCAAGAGGCUGGACGGUGGUGUAUCUGUGCUCUCGGUUUGCGUGAACCUGAUCUGGUCUUAAGAACCUCGGUGGCGGGUUGACAUAUGCAAGGGUUAAGUGCUACAUAUGUCGUGUGAUUGGAGAUCCUCAGCUGAGUAUAAUCGAUUCGGAUCGCCGUACCUUCGCGGUUAUGAAGACUUGGUCACUUCCCUACAACCUAAGUCAGGAUGCGAACUUCAUGAAUAAAAAUGAUAUUGUAUUAAUGAAAUGAUAAAAUUAGACUAGAGGCAAACAGAGUCUAUUAAUAUUUAAUCUGACGUUAAAAUGUUGAAAGUAAGGACUCACUUUAGUAAGCUAUUUCUGCAAAAGUAUCUAAGUUGAUUUUUGCUAAAGCCUCUCCUUGACUCCUAUUUAUCCAGCAUACCCUUGAGAGUCUUUUCCUUAGUCGGGUAAGACUUGCUGAGUAAUUCCAUACUCAGGGUUUUAUUCCCUGUUGUUUUUCAGGUUCUAACUUUGUGCUGUUGUUGAUGGGGUUAAGUGCCGGUGGGCUCGGCCUUCUUAUAAGUCUAAGUAACCCUUCUAUACUUCUUAUUGAGGAUGAUCCCUUGAGCUAGCAUAUAUUUCAAACUUAUACUUUUGUAACCACUCCGAUAAACUAAUGUAAAAUUUUUGUAACCUGUAAAAUUUGGUAGUAAGAUUUCCGCUGCAACAAUAUUGGUGUGUGUGAUUUGUGUUACUUAAUCCCGCGGUUCUGGUUGUAAGUGGUUUAUCCGAUGUCCUUGGGGCAAUCGGACGGAUCCUGUUAAGUUAUCUGGUGCACAUGCAUAGCAGUCUGAGGUCUUUGAGACAAGGACAGGUGCAUGUGGGCCCAAUAACUUGGGAGGUUCUGCCACAGCUGGUAUCGGAGCUGGAUUAAGUAUAUACGGUCACAUACAUAUUUUCAAAACAAAGGUUUUGGUUUUGAAAACCCUAUUUUCAACUAAACACAUUCUUUGGCUUUGAAAAACAGCUUUGAAAAACUAUAAUGCUAGCGACAUCCUCUGUUAAGCCCUAAGUUAAGGACUAUUAGGUGGCUUAUUUAAAAACCACUAACCCACAACCGGGUGGGUAUUGCAUACAUGUGUAUUGUUAUUUUUAAGGCCAUUCAGUUUUGAAUGGAUCGACGCUCAGGUAAGGUGAGAUGUGAGAGCAUGACCGAACAACCGUCGGUCUAGGGGAGUGCUUAAUUGUGGCGCUUGAUUAUAUACAUGUUCCACAUAUGUAUAUAUGAAGGCUGCGAUAUGGAGUAUUUUCUUUUCUGGGAAUUCAGUACCCCAUGUGUGUGUAUGGGUAUACAGACAUGGGAAUACUGAGAAGUGUAAUGUACUUGUAACGACGCACUUACGCUCAGGUAAGAAGGUGAGUUACCAUAAUGGGUUGCCCUAUGGUUAAAGUGUGGCAACAGCGCCUAUGCGUGGCUCGGCGCUUAAUGAUGAGCUGGCCUCCAUAUAGCAAUAUAUGGAGUAUAAACUGUGAUAAACUGUCAUGUGUGACUUGCAUCAUUAGGAAAAUGGGCUGUGAUGAAAUUUUCUGCAGGUACCCUAACCUCGAAAACGUAUGUGUAGCUGACGACUAGCAAAAUACCGUGAGAGUCGUAAGUAUGCCACCGAGAUAGAACGCUAUUGCCAUAUUAAAUUGGCAAAAAUUCGUGAGGACGUGUAGGACGAGCAUGCAUCCUGAUUGUUGCAUUAUGUUUGUCACCUAUACACCCAAAAUGCUUCUCUCACCUUUAUUCUAAUAACCGGUGAUUGUAGAUAAUGUGGUGUAAUGUUGUAUUGUGAACUUCGAUAAAAUAGUUGUCCUCCGUUCUUUAGGUAACCUGUUAAGGUGUUAUAUGUGUUUGCUCUUGUGCUUGAUGUGUUGAUAGAAAGUUGGUAAUUGUUCGCCUAAACCCAGAACUAGGCCAUGUUCUUAUUUAGUGAACUAUGACCCCAAAGUUGAAUUCUCCAUUAUCACUCCAUGACCAAACUCAUGCAAAUAAAUGCGUAGACAAUUUCCUUAUUGGACAUAAAAUGUACCUAAGCUUAAAACAAGUAUCUCAAGUCAUGUCUUCUUCUAGAACCAUUCCUUUGUUCAGUUGAUGCCUUGGUUUCCUCAUGUUUAUCGAAGGCAUAUCAACUUAAUCCUUGACCUUGUGAUCUCUACGGUGGACAUAGAAAUAUGCUUGGGGCUGAAUUAACAGUUUCCCAUCGUACUCCUUCCAACAAGUUUAUGUUAUGGCCAUACCUUGUCCGUUUCAUCGGGCCAUGAUCUAUCUGGUCUCUACUUAUAACCGUUCUUACAGGUAGAGUAUCUCUUUGUAUAUUAUCACCCUUGCCCAGUCUAAUUGUGUUGUGCGAGAUUUCUUAUUGGUUUUGUCUGGUAAUGGUGUUAUGACUAAAACCGGUGGUGCCGUGACGAAACCGAGGGCCUUCUGUGUGUGCGCACACAUGGUCGUGCUGCUCGGCAUGCGCUGGUAUCACGGUUAGUAGUUGUAAUCCAUUAUGAGACUAUAUCAAUGUGUUAUUUUGGCACAAUCUAGUUUUAACACGUGAGAUUCAUUAUUGGUGCCAGUUCGGUAAUGGUGUCACGAUUAAUGACUUAUGGUGCCGCAGCGAAACUGAGAGCCCCUUGUGAAUGUACAUGCAAGGUUAUGCUGCUUGGCGCAUGCUGGUAUCAAGGUCCCUAGUCAUGAUCCAUUGUGGAACUACACUGAUGUGUUAUCUUUCGUGGACCUUCCCUUGAAACAAAUUCUAUGUUGUUUGUGAAGUGAUCAAGCAACAUAUAUCAUCUUUAUUGGAUCCAAAAAGGGCAUACCACUUUCGUGUGUGGUCUCUUUUCUUUGAUCUUGAUAGUGAUUACUUGUACAAGUUCCCUUUACAUCCUUUGUGUAAAGGUGAAACCUUGGAGCUUUUUAGUGUUGGAAGACAGCUGAUUAGCUCUAAAAUGGAGAUUGAUUUUCCCUACAGCUGAAAUGCAGGAGUUUGUCCAGUUGUUCUCUUACUUAAUCCAUGUAUUCCCUAACCAAGUGGAUGAUUCAUCUCGCCUGAAGAAACGGAUGAACAACCUGACCAAAUGGAUUUCUACCCAAAUGCAUGAUCAACUGUUAACAAGAGUGAACUCUCAACCCUUGGCUUACCGAUGGUACUGAGAGGGCUUGCUCAAUGUCAAAAGUAGUUCAACAAGUUGGUUUUACUAACUCACUUUGGUUCAACCCAUCUUAAGGAAGUACUUUCAAGAAUCGAGAUUAAGUCGACCAGAAACCACCUAGUUAUCGCUCUAGUCAUGCCUCGAUCGCCUCACGUGUGCUUUUCCAGCAUGUGUGAUCAAGUCGAGCCAUGGUUAGUACUUGCUAAAAUGGAUUGGUUGCAAAGACAACAUCUACAGAUCCCUCCGCUGGUGAUUCUCUCGAAUCUAUAUCACCUUUCAGGGACUUGGAUUUUCUGGCUAGCCACGCGUCAACUGUGAUGUUAUUCGGCAUUCACACCCGUCUCGUGUGCUAUGAAUUUCCUGUAACCACUUGUUGGUAAACUCCUUUUGUGUGUUUUACCCAAGAGGUUGCAUCUGAUUCUGUUAGGAUAAAAUCGCAUAAUUACCUCUCGCUCAACAGACUCAGAUAGUACAGUGUCAUCAGAAAAAGCGAACUGCACACAUGGAACCUUAUGUGUUCCUUUGGCAGAUAUCGUCUCUAUUGGUGGACAUUUCUAAAUUAGCCUAAGGCGAUACAUGUUAUGCCCACUAGAGAAGCAACAUUCCGAGACACUCGCCUCUGCUUGGAACUGCCAUAUAAUUAUCGCUGAUAUGGACAUGGGUUACAUGCUUCUCUACUCUUAGAAGUCUUUCGCUCCGAAUCUCGGGACGAGAUUCUUUUAAGGGGGGAGGGUUGUAACACCGCAGGUGUUUAUAUUCCGCUCGACAACGAGUACGGAUUUAAGCACGUAAUAUCAGUAAAUAAAACAGAUACUUUAUUCUAAUUAUUUUCACCAUCGCGAUUUUAGGAUCGCAUCUGUUUCGUCUGUCGCGAGUGCGACGUCGUUUUUAUUUUCAUCUAUUUAGGCUCGUCCUAAAUUUUCGUGAUGUUCGGAACAUAGCUGUUCCGAAAAUCGGUGCGUCCAGUGAUUAUUUAAAAUUCAUCGCUCGCGCGAAUACGAAUUCGGAAGCCCGACCCACUCGGAUGAUUUUUAUCCUGAGCAAAUUAGUGUGAACUUAACAACUAAAAUGUUCGGGGUAAAAUAAUUUGUAUCGCGCAUUGUCCGAGAAAAAUCGUGCGCAAAGUUAUUAUCCAAUUUAUUCUUCGGCACACUCUGUAAAAUAAUAAAAUCAACUGUGUUUAGACAUCGGAUAAAUUUUUAUCCGAGAUCGACUAAAUCAGUAUUGUCUCAAAAUAAUGUAUCUGAUAUCCAGUCCGUUUCCGUGUUGCCGAAAUCAGCUUAUUUCGGUCUGUCGUUUCUUGACCGAUCCAAAACCUCGGAUAAAUAACUAGUAAAAAUUCAUCUGAUUCCGAGAGUGUUCACCAUAUUGAAUUCGCUGAUGUUAUUUUCAUCAAACACAUUUGUGCCUCUUUUAAACCCUAGAAAUUAGAUUUGUCUCUAUAUCUACAUUAACUAAAUGCAGAAAAUAUCUUUCUAUCCUAUCCAGCUAUCGUGUAGACUUGGCCUCAUCCUCUAAUUACUCCACACGUCUUCUAUUAUUCUUAUUUUCUAUACGUUCCUAUCCUCUAGCUGAUAUUUUCUGCACAUGAAGUCCUCCCUCACAAAUCUCUGCUUGCUCGGCAUUAGAAGCUCGCACACGUCCCUCUCCCUCUUGUAUUUUCUCUCCAUUAGUCUCCACAACGUUCCUGAUAUAUACAACGUUCCUGAUAUUUUUCAUCAGAUUGAUUUUUUCCCUUGAACGGUUGAGCCUCAUCCUUCCCACCGCUCUUUCUCUGUUAUAUUUCCUUGGCAUCAUAAACAUACGAAUUAGUGGAACCAAGGUUUAUAUAAAAACAAAAACAAGAAAUUUCAAUAUGUUAUUUUUAUCGACCUUAUCCCAUGCUGCCCAGAAGUAUCUCACCACCGCUUUAUUCAGUCUUAUCCUCCUGAUGCCCUCGCUCAUGUGAAAUAUCCUUAACGUCUUCUCCUCCUACGCAGAUAUAUUCACUACUAGGCGCAUUUCCUUUCUUCCCAUUGCGCAACACCCCCGCGGUAGUAUCCAACUGGUCGUCAGCUUGUCGCUCUCCGUCCUGGACAUCGCUCCCAGCACACUCGUCCUUGGCUCGGCAUCCCCCUCGAGCUCGUCCUCUCCUCAUCUCCAUGGUCGUCGUAUCUGCUCCUCCGUUCAAGCUAUUUAGGUCCGGCCGUCGAUGCGUCCAUGGGUCUCCGGCCUUGCUUGCCCGUCGCACGCGAGGCUGACUCUCUGCCUCGCUGUGCUCGUCGGGGUCACCCUCCAUGCUGGUGCUCACCCUUAUGGCGUCCCUCGUCUCCCUGGGCUCCUUUUGUCGCGUCCAGUUCUAGUCACUGUUAUCCGCUGAACCACCGUCGCGCCGGGUUGCCCCUGAUUCGUGGAAUUCACCGGCUUUCCCGUGCGCAGUCGCGGAUGCCGUCGCUCGGCCCUUGUGUCUUGCUGAGCUCAUCACCGUCGCUUAUCCCUAACGCUCGUCAUGGACCUCGUCGUCGGCCUACGUUGUAUCCACGACAUGCUUGUCGACUCUGAUGAUCUGUUUUCCAAUUGCGUGCUGCCUACGUCGAUUUUCGGAACUCCUUGCCGUGCUCGACUCUGCAAGUCUCCAACUCGUUGUUAUUCGUGCAUCCCCAAGAGAUCCCAAGAAUCGGGUGAAGACGAAGUUAACAGCGCGAUAUUCCCCCAAGCGCUCGACAAAUUGCUUGGAUCGGAAAAUCGCUACCGAUCUCGUAGAUUCAUCUCAUCUGUGGAAACGGUAAGCUGAUAAAUUAUUUAGAAUAGUUCGAUCGUUGAAUAAAUUAAUGUGUUAGUGCGAGGCUUAUUAAGGUGCUCGAUAAAUUGCGUGAGUCACGAAACUCUCGUCGACUUCGCAGUUCUUGUGAUUAUCGAGCCAGAUUCAGCUAUAGCGAAUUAUUUCGGUAUUCCGGUCACUUAGCUGAAUUAGUGGAUCGAGUAGAAUUUUAGUAGGCAUGUGUGUUGAUGAAAUAAUUUAAUCACUUAUAAAGAUGUAGUAUAAUUUAUAAGGCAAGGGAUUAGUUCAGAAUUAAAUUAAUUAACUGAUAAGUUAUGAUUAGGCUAAUUGUAUUUCGUGUGUAUAGUUUGUUGUUCGUGAUGUUUGUGUUAGGUUCGAGAAGCGUAAUUAUUGCGCUUAGUCGUACGUCUGUAACUAGUGUUUCCGUAUAAAAUUAUACAACGCCUCGCCGAUCGGUGUUUAAAUUCGCCAUCGCGUAGCACUAUUUAGGGUUUUUGAUAUUCAUGUCUAUAUGCAUUCAUAUGCAUAAUGCAUUUCAUUCAGGUACGUUAAUUAAUCGCGCGAUGUGGAAGACAAGCCAAGUCGACCCCAAGCGCGGGCUAAUCCGCAGGAUGAUGCUGAUGGACAAACCUGAAAAUGGCCGCCAAGUGGACGUCGUCUAACAACACUAACCUAGUGUUACCCAGGCAAGCCCCGGUGCAUGCAACCCUUUCCUUGUGUUUUUAAAUAAUUUUCGCACACUUUAAGUCUAGUGAAAUGUGCAUUAGGUUCAUAGGAGUUGCUUGGAACCCUUUGAUGCAUUGCUUUCCUUGAUAUCCAUACCUUUAUAGAUACUUCUGUGAAGUAUCAAAAUAUGAUUUACAAAAAUGCUUAGCCUUGCUUAGAUCUUGUGGAUAGAGGUUGUCCUUAGCCUAGCUCGAGAAAGGAUGACUUCUACCUGCAAGAAUAUUUUCAUUUGGAGCAAUGGUGGGAUCUUACUGCAAAGUUCCCUGUGAUGCUCUUUUCAUCCUAAGGAACAGAAACAAUCCUAAGGAUGAAAAUACUUAAAUUGAGACUUGGGUUAGGAACAGGUGAUGUUCUACCCAGGUUGAUUAAGGAUUGAAUGCGUAUGUAGGCGUGCUGAUCGAGGACCCUUUAACUGGUCACAUGCCUCAUCAUGGGUAAGUCUUGCCUCGGGCAGACUAAGGCCAGAAUAAGAUAACACGAAAUGGGCGUGGAGCGGUGGCGAGAGUAGCGUGUACCCUCUGUGGCAAGAGGCUGGACGGUGGUGUAUCUGUGCUCUCGGUUUGCGUGAACCUGAUCUGGUCUUAAGAACCUCGGUGGCGGGUUGACAUAUGCAAGAGUUUAGUGCUACAUAUGUCGUGUGAUUGGAGAUCCUCAGCUGAGUAUAAUCGAUUCGGAUCGCCGUACCUUCGCGGAUAUGAAGACUUGGUCACUUCCCUACAACCUAAGUCAGGAUGUGAACUUCGUGAAUAAAAAUGAUAUUGUAUUAAUGAAAUGAUAAAAUUAGACUAGAGGCAAACAGAGUCUAUUAAUAUUUAAUCUGGCGUUAAAAUGUUGAAAGUAAGGACUCACUUUAGUAAGCUAUUUCUGCAAAAGUAUCUAAGUUGAUUUUUGCUAAAGCCUCUCCUUGACUCCUAUUUAUCCAGCAUACCCUUGAGAGUCUUUUCCUUAGUCGGGUAAGACUUGUUGAGUAAUUCCAUACUUAGGGUUUUAUUCCCUGUUGUUUUUCAGGUUCUAACUUUGUGAUGUUGUUGAUGGGGUUAAGUGCCGGUGGGCUCGGCCUUCUUAUAAGUCUAAGUAACCCUUCUAUACUUCUUAUUGAGGAUGAUCCCUUGAGCUAGCAUAUAUUUCAAACUUAUACUUUUGUAACCACUCCGAUAAACUAAUGUAAAAUUUUUGUAACCUGUAAAAUUUGGUAGUAAGAUUUCCGCUGCAACAAUAUUGGUGUGUGUGAUUUGUGUUACUUAAUCCCGCGGUUCUGGUUGUAAGUGGUUUAUCCGAUGUCCUUGGGGCAAUCGGACGGAUCCUGUUAAGUUAUCUGGUGCACAUGCAUAGCAGUCUGAGGUCUUUGAGACAAGGACAGGUGCAUGUGGGCCCAAUAACUUGGGAGGUUCUGCCACAGUAAUGAUGGCGCCUCCUGUUGACGUGGUCGGUCCGUGGUGCCCUAGGUUGAGCGAUGUGGAGGCUCCUCCGAGGUCGAGGUCGAGUCUGUCUUCCGUGGCCGAGGUCGAGUCCGAGCCCCUGGGUCGGGCGAGGCGGAGACCGUCGGCUGAGGCCAGGGCUGAGUCCGAGCCCUGGGGUCGGGCGAAGCGGAGUUCGUCGUCUUCUGGGCUGAGCCCGAGUCCGAGCCCUGGGGUCGGGCGGAGCGGAGUUCGUCAUCUUCCGGGGCUGAGCCCGAGUUCGAGCCCUGGGGUCGGGCGAAGCGGAGUUCGUCGUCUUCUGGGGCUGAGCCCGAGUCCGAGCCCUGCGGUCGGGCGAAGCGGAGUUCGUCGUCUUCCGGGGCUGAGCCCGAGUCUGAGCCCUGGGGUCAGGCGAAGCGGAGUUCGUCGUCUUCCGGGGCUGAGCCCGAGUCCGAGCCCUAGGGUCGGGCGAAGCGGAGUUUCCUAUGGUGCCUGAGGCCGGGCCUGGCGGCUGUCAGCCUCACUCUGUCAAGUGGCACAGCAGUCGGUGCGGCACAGGCGGCGCUGUCCUCUUGUCAGACCGGUUAGUUUAGCGGCGAAGUGACUGCGGUCACUUUGGCUCUAUCGACUGGAGGGCGCGCGUCAGGAUAAAGGUGUCAGGCCACCUUUGCAUUAAAUGCCCCUGCGAUUUGGUCGGUUGGCGUGGCGAUUUGGCCAAGGUUGCUUCUUGGUGAAGACUGGGCCUUGGGCGAGCCGAAGGUGUGUCCGUCGCUGGAGGGGGGCCUCGGGCGAGACGUAGAUCCUCCGGGGUCAGCUGCCCUUGCCCGAGGCUAGGCUCGGGCGAGGCGUGAUCGAGUCCCUUGAACGGACCGAUCCUUGACUUAGUUGCACCCAUCAGGCCUUUGCAGCUUUAUGCUGAUGGGGGUUACCAGCUGAGAAUUAAGAGUCUUGAGGGUACCCCUAAUUAUGGUCCCCGACAGGUACGCACAAUGAAUUUGACUCGUUAUAGGAAAACACCGAUUCAAUCUACAACUGAGGUAAUUAAUUGACAUGGCGUCGUGGAGUAACAAACCGACGAAUCAGAUCAGGCGGCUACGGUCAGACAACAGAAGGCGAACUCAUUUUUGAAAUUGCAAUCCAUAAAAUGGACCAGGAACUCGAACCGUUCACCUGAUAGCACGUGACGGGGAUAUCCACUAUGGAUGCAGCGAGAGGUGCUUCCUGCCUGCCACCCUCGUCCACCACCUGCAUGGCCUUAGCCACCUUGGCACGCAUGACUGUCCCUCGACUGUCGUCGGUCAGGCGUCCACCUAGUGCAGCGGAGGACACAUUGACAUUUCCCGACGACCCCUGGGUGAAGCACCAUCAUGGCCGUGGAGGCCACAUGAUUGGCAUCACGAGGCAUCCGUCCGGGAGACCGCAACGGCGUGACGGAUAGACGAUGAUGUGUGCGGGGUUGGGAUCUUCUGGGCCAGAGACGGGCGCGCAAGAUCAUUGUGCGACAGGCUCUGGCGACGGUCACUGUGGGCCUUUCGUGGGUUGCAAAUGCCGAUAAGCAUGGGUGUGACAUGUGAAGCAGUGAGAGAAACAGACGCAGGUGUGGCGCUCAACCUGCUGUGAAACGACGUGCGGGAGCGUGCACGGCGUGAACCUCACGAACCCCAACCUACCUCUCCUACUCUUGGGGAAGCACGAGAGGCGACUAGCCUUCUCCUCGCCGAUGCCCUAGGCCGAUGCAGCCAAGGCGGGUGUUGUGUCGAGCCCUUGCGCGCGUCUCGCGGGGGUUUGUUGGGUAGUGGGUAUAGUGCAUGGGCUGAAGUGCGUGUUGAUUUGAAAAGAUGGCAAGGGGUUUUCUGUAAAAAUAUGACGCAAGACGACCAUUGAAACUAGUGCUUUAAUCUUUACUACUCUAUAAGCCUCUAAUGUAGACCAUCCGUGCACCAUGUUCUGCCUCUCACCUCUCCCGGCUGCCCCUGUCGCUUUCCUCGUCUUCUUCGUGGCAUUGCAGUUCGCGCUGGUCCUGUGGUGUCGCCGGUGGCACCUCGUCUUCUUCAUGGCAUUGCAGUUCGCGCUGGUCCUGUGGUGUCGCCGGCGCCGCCACAGGAACGAACAGGAUACCUCUGGUGGUGCGCAACAGUCGCUAAUGCCGCCGAGGGUCGGGUCCAGCAGGAGCAGAGGGCCUGGCAGCGUGGUGGUGGAGAACUUCACGCUGGACAUCCUCUGGUACCUUGUGUAGAUUAGAUCGACUGCUUUGUUUGACUGAUUUAAUACACUUGUCUAAUUUUUCGAACUUUGUAUGCUUUUGAAGCUUGUGUCUUAGGUACUACACAAGGUAAUUGAUUCAUUUAUAUAGUAAGUAGUUUUUGCUAGGAGAAACUCUUGAACUUAAAUCUUUUUGAUAUCAUUAGACUUCAUCAAUCAUGGUGCGACCUAUUAUUCUCAUGUAGAUGUUAUAAGGUCUCUUAGUCUUGUGGAAAAUCUGUUUUGCUCUCUUUGUGAAUGUCUAAACCGUAUCAAAUGCUUGUGGCUAUGCUUUAGUAGCGCUAAGAAGUCUGCAACUGUUGGUUGGUCAAGGGUGAUAUCUAUGUUUUAUAUUAAUUUUUAACUCUCGUGGCAACGCACGGGCACAUACCUAUUAUAUUAUAAAAGAUAAAGAAAUAUAGUUUUCCUAUAUUUUUUCUGAUCUUGCACCAACUAAUUUACAUCUGGUAUAUUUUCCUCUAUAUAUAUCCUCACAGAAAAUACGGCUCGGUAAAGCCCACACAAAUUUUCAACGAUCUCAGAACGUCCUCGUUUCGAUUUGGCAGAUGGACUUCAACCGAAACAUGGGCCUAGCUGAGGCUCGUUCUGUGCUGUCCGGGCCUCCGGCUUGAACUCGUUGCAUUUUCUUCCCUCGGCCGUCCGGUUCCUUCACGAAUGCGCAACAGGGGGCCCACAUACGCCGCGCUAACGGCACUCACCAUGCCCAUGAUGAUGAUGCAACGACCCAUCAAUGAUCGAUCUUCCCUUCCCAGCAGAGCAGUGCCACGCGCCGUGAUCGUCCCAUGCUUUCUAUUGAGAACUAUGUUACCACGGAUCACCAGAUCCGCUCCCUUCCCUUCCGUCAGCAGUAGAGGCGCAAGAAGCUGUAGAAUACCCGUCUCCCUUCCCAUAAGCACGACAGAGUAAACACACGAGACACAGGAUAUUGGGUUGGGCCUCUGGCCUCUUUCUCUUCUCUCUUCCAUAUGAGGGGUACAUGUUCUAUAUAUAGAGAGACGCGAUAGCCCUCAGGGCUAUAUUUGGUAUUUGCCCACAUAACCCUUCAUUAGGGUUUCUCAACACUCCCCCUUGGGCGAAUACCGCGACCAACACAUGCCUCGUUAAAAC